AACGGGUGAGGAACACGUGAGGAAUCUGCCCAUCAUUUGGGAUAACACCGGGAAACCGGUGCUAAUACCGAAUACUCCGUCUUGGCGGCAUCGCUAAGCCGGGAAAGAAUUUCGAUGAUGGAUGAUCUCGCGGCCUAUCAGCUAGUUGGUGAGGUAACGGCUCACCAAGGCAACGACGGGUAGCCGGCCUGAGAGGGCGACCGGCCACACUGGGACUGAGACACGGCCCAGACUCCUACGGGAGGCAGCAGUAGGGAAUAUUGGGCAAUGAGCGCAAGCCUGACCCAGCGACGCCGCGUGCGGGAUGAAGGCCUUCGGGUUGUAAACCGCUUUCAGUAGGGAAGAAGCGAAAGUGACGGUACCUACAAAAGAAGCACCGGCUAACUAUGUGCCAGCAGCCGCGGUAAUACAUAGGGUGCAAGCGUUGUCCGGAAUUAUUGGGCGUAAAGAGCUCGUAGGUCGUUUGUUACGUCGGAUGUGAAAAUCUGAGGCUCAACCUCAGACCUGCAUCCGAUACGGGCAAACUAGAGUUUGGUAGGGGAGACUGGAAUUCCUGGUGUAGCGGUGGAAUGCGCAGAUAUCAGGAGGAACACCAACGGCGAAGGCAGGUCUCUGGGCCAAUACUGACACUGAGGAGCGAAAGCGCGGGGAGCGAACAGGAUUAGAUACCCUGGUAGUCCGCGCCGUAAACGGUGGGUACUAGUUGUGGGAACCUUCCACGGUUUCUGCGACGACGCUAACGCAUUAAGUACCCCGCCUGGGGAGUACGAUCGCAAGAUUAAAACUCAAAGGAAUUGACGGGGCCCCGCACAAGCAGCGGAGCAUGCGGCUCAAUUCGAUGCAACGCGAAGAACCUUACCAAGGCUUGACAUAUAGCGAAAAGUGGCAGAGAUGUCAUGUCCGCAAGGGCGCUAUACAGGUGGUGCAUGGUUGUCGUCAGCUCGUGUCGUGAGAUGUUGGGUUAAGUCCCGCAACGAGCGCAACCCUCGCCUUUAGUUGCCAUCAUUCAGUUGGGCACUCUAGAGGGACUGCCGGUGAUAAGCCGGAGGAAGGUGGGGAUGACGUCAAGUCCUCAUGGCCCUUACAGGCUGGGCUACACACGUGCUACAAUGGCGGUGACAAUGGGAUGCGAAGGGGCGACCCGGAGCAGAUCUCCAAAAGCCGUCUCAGUUCGGAUUGUACUUAAAC
RNAcentral lists this ribosomal RNA (1188 nucleotides) under uncultured bacterium. RNAcentral describes it as "bacterial SSU rRNA". It matches the Rfam family "Bacterial small subunit ribosomal RNA", at positions 101 to 1311 of the family's 1533-position model. The record is from RNAcentral.